AGCUCGUAGGCGGUUUGUCGCGUCUGCUGUGAAAAUCCGAGGCUCAGACCGGACCUGCAGUGGGUACGGGCAAACUAGAGUGCGGUAGGGGAGAUUGGAAUUCCUGGUGUAGCGGUGGAAUGCGCAGAUAUCAGGAGGAACACCAAUGGCGAAGGCAGAUCUCUGGGCCGUAACUGACGCUGAGGAGCGAAAGCGUGGGGAGCGAACAGGAUUAGAUACCCUGGUAGUCCACGCCGUAAACGGUGGGAACUAGAUGUGGGGUCCGUUCCACGGAUUCCGUGUCGCAGCUAACGCAUUAAGUUCCCCGCCUGGGGAGUACGGCCGCAAGGCUAAAACUCAAAGGAAUUGACGGGGGCCCGCACAAGCGGCGGAGCAUGCGGAUUAAUUCGAUGCAACGCGAAUAACCUUACCAAGGCUUGACAUAUAGAGGAAAAGUGUAGAAAUACACUCCCCGCAAGGUCUCUAUACAGGUGGUGCAUGGUUGUCGUCAGCUCGUGUCGUGAGAUGUUGGGUUAAGUCCCGCAACGAGCGCAACCCUCGUCCUAUGUUGCCAGCACGUAAUGGUGGGAACUCAUGGGAUACUGCCGGGGGUCAACUCGGAGGAAGGUGGGGGAUGACGUCAAACCAUCAUGCCCCUUAUGUCUUG
RNAcentral lists this ribosomal RNA (646 nucleotides) under uncultured bacterium. Its description in RNAcentral is "bacterial SSU rRNA". It matches the Rfam family "Bacterial small subunit ribosomal RNA", at positions 566 to 1211 of the family's 1533-position model. The record is from RNAcentral.